This 527-nucleotide ribosomal RNA is filed under the name uncultured bacterium. RNAcentral's name for it is "bacterial SSU rRNA". It matches the Rfam family "Bacterial small subunit ribosomal RNA", at positions 8 to 524 of the family's 1533-position model. The record is from RNAcentral.
AGAGUUUGAUCCUGGCUCAGAUUGAACGCUGGCGGCAGGCCUAACACAUGCAAGUCGAGCGGUAACAGGAAGUAGCUUGCUACUUCGCUGACGAGCGGCGGACGGGUGAGUAAUGCCUGGGAAUAUGCCUUGAUGUGGGGGAUAACUAUUGGAAACGAUAGCUAAUACCGCAUAAUGCCUACGGGCCAAAGAGGGGGAUCUUCGGACCUCUCGCGUCAAGAUUAGCCCAGGUGGGAUUAGCUAGUUGGUGGGGUAAAGGCUCACCAAGGCGACGAUCCCUAGCUGGUCUGAGAGGAUGAUCAGCCACACUGGAACUGAGACACGGUCCAGACUCCUACGGGAGGCAGCAGUGGGGAAUAUUGCACAAUGGGGGAAACCCUGAUGCAGCCAUGCCGCGUGUAUGAAGAAGGCCUUCGGGUUGUAAAGUACUUUCAGCAGUGAGGAAGGUGGUAGUGUUAAUAGCGCUAUCAUUUGACGUUAGCUGCAGAAGAAGCACCGGCUAACUCCGUGCCAGCAGCCGCGGUAAU